AUUGAACGCUGGCGGAAUGCUUUACACAUGCAAGUCGAGCGGCAGCGCGGGGCAACCUGGCGGCGAGCGGCGAACGGGUGAGUAAUGCAUCGGAACGUACCCCGUCGUGGGGGAUAACUACCCGAAAGGGUAGCUAAUACCGCAUACGACCUGAGGGUGAAAGCGGGGGACCGAAAGGCCUCGCGCGAUGGGAGCGGCCGAUGCCGGAUUAGCUAGUUGGUAGGGUAAAGGCCUACCAAGGCGACGAUCCGUAGCUGGUCUGAGAGGACGACCAGCCACACUGGAACUGAGACACGGUCCAGACUCCUACGGGAGGCAGCAGUGGGGAAUUUUGGACAAUGGGCGAAAGCCUGAUCCAGCCAUUCCGCGUGAGUGAAGAAGGCCUGGUGUAAG
RNAcentral lists this ribosomal RNA (393 nucleotides) under uncultured bacterium. Its description in RNAcentral is "bacterial SSU rRNA". It matches the Rfam family "Bacterial small subunit ribosomal RNA", at positions 29 to 429 of the family's 1533-position model. The record is from RNAcentral.